Molecule: RNase P RNA, 325 nt
Filed under: Helicobacter mehlei
Lineage: Bacteria; Pseudomonadati; Campylobacterota; Epsilonproteobacteria; Campylobacterales; Helicobacteraceae
Description: Bacterial RNase P class A
Rfam family: Bacterial RNase P class A
About the family: Ribonuclease P (RNase P) is a ubiquitous endoribonuclease, found in archaea, bacteria and eukarya as well as chloroplasts and mitochondria.
Source: Rfam by way of RNAcentral
GUUGCAUGGGCGGUGGUUGCUUUGGAUCAAACCAAAGAGGAAAGUCCGAGCUACAUAAGACAGGAUUCCAUUUAACAGAUGGCUAGCGUGAGCUAAGGGAAAGUGCCACAGAAAAUAACCGCUCGUUGAGAGUAAGGGUGAAAAGGUGGGGUAAGAGCCCACCGCGUCCUAAGCAAUUAGGAUCGGACUUAGGCAAACCCAAUCUGUAGCAAGAAGUGUAUGGUAAGGUCUUAAGUUUAGGCACUUCGCAAGAGGUGGGUUGUAAAACUCAUCCUAGAUAAAUAACCACCCACGACAGAACUCGGCUUAUGCCCAUGCACCAUAA